This 96-nucleotide microRNA precursor is filed under the name Aegilops tauschii subsp. strangulata. RNAcentral describes it as "pre miRNA MIR164". The record is from RNAcentral. Lineage: Eukaryota; Viridiplantae; Streptophyta; Magnoliopsida; Poales; Poaceae.
GAGGAGAAGAAGAAGGAAUAGAGGAGAAGAAGAAAAAAUAGAAUAAUAUAUUAUUCUAUUUCUUCUUCUUCUCCUCUAUUUCUUCUUCUUCUACUC